UCAAUCUGCCACACACGCACCCUCGAGCGUCAGAGCUCCUCACAUUGGUCUCUGGCGGGCCUCUUCAAGUUGGAUUCGUGGAUACAGCCGGUCUGAAAUCUCUCUCUCUCUCUCUCUCUCUCUCAUGCUGUGAUUUUUUCCAGGAGUACCACGCAUCAACCUUUUGUACCCGGGCGAUCUCACGGUUUUCCCGCGAGGAACGAUGCACUUUGAGAUCAACGUUGGGACCAAGCGUGCGUUUUACAUCUCGGUCCUCAAUAGCCAAAACCCAGGAACUCUGGUAAACAAAAAAGCUUCGCACGUUUUUUUAAUGUUUUCUGAUCCUUUUUUUUUUUUUAUUAUUCUUUCGUGUGUUGUGCAGACAAGUGGUGGUGCUCUCUUGAUGAUCCCGGACAGGUCCUCUGCAACCGCGCUCAACGUCGGGCUGGACAUGAUCCGGAAGCUCAAGGAGAAUAUGCUGCCAUACACCCCGCAGCUCGAGUUGGCCCCGCCCGCUGUGUGCGUUCCCGGGCGAGACAUCACCACCAAGAUUUAAAGAAUUUUUCUGUCCUUGCUUAAUUAAAAUAAGCUCCUUUUUCUCCAUUUUCUUGAAGCUAGGUGCCUUUUCUGCAAAUUACUAUAAACAAAUCCUUUAGGUUUUCCUAAACUACUCAUUUUUGGCAGAGUAUGUGUGACGCGAGCUUGCUAGUCGCUGGAGCGGACGGAGAGGUAAGGGUUGUCAUGUUGAUUACAGCACGAACACCACCGGGUCUAUUGCGAACAUCCCCAUUAACAUCUCGUAGCACGAAAUCGCUAAGAGCUCCCUACCUUGCGAAAUCUCGCAGUGGAUCGGGAUCGGCAGCGACUAACACAUUCAAGCACCCAAGAUCAUCACUGCCAACAAAGCUUCUUGAAAUCCAACGGUAAAGAAAAAAUGUAUCCAAAUGCAAUCAAUGUCUCGUGCUUGAGAAACAAUGGGGGGGAGAGAGAGAGAGAGAGAGAGAGAGAGAGAGAGAGAUGGAGAGAGAAAAGGUAAGAACGAAAUGAGGGAAGAGGGCAUCGAGUUUGCAUGCAUGCGUGAUCAACGCGUGUUUGUGGAUUUAUUUUACAGACUUUGAAGACUUGCCACUGUAUAUAAACCACAAACUUUCUUCUGGCAGAUUUAUCAUCUCUUCCAUCACAACUCAUUCGCUCGUUUCUUUCUCCUUUUCGCUCUUCUCAGUUUCCGGAGAUCAUCUUUCCUUUGGUCUAGAUCUUGAUCUUCUUGCGAUGGAGUACAAGAAGUUCAUACUGAUGGUGAUGAUCUUGGGCGCCGCCGCAGGGAAUGUGUUUGUGAGUGCCGCCGACCCCGACCCGCUGCAAGAUUUCGACAGCCCGGGAGCUCUCAGCGACUUCGUGCUGCGAGAUGUGUUCAAGAAUGGCGACGUGAGCAAUGGACCUGGUGGCCUUCGCGCCGCGAUCAACAUCACACUCUUCCCAGGAAUCGAGUACUUUGUCUUCCGCUUUGCCUUUCGUUCUGUUAGCUCGAGAUCGCGGUUUUGAUGGAGGUUGUCCUUUGUUUUGCUUGCAGGUCCCAGGGGAUAACUUAUGUACACUUUAACAUGGUUCCCUGUGGAGUCAAUCUGCCACACACGCACCCUCGAGCGUCAGAGCUCCUCACAUUGGUCUCUGGCGGGCCUCUUCAAGUUGGAUUCGUGGAUACAGCCGGUACGAAAUCUCUUUCUCUCUCUCUCUCUCUCUCAUGCUGUGAUUUUUUCCAGGAGUACCACGCAUCAACCUUUUGCACCCGGGCGAUCUCACGGUUUUCCCGCGAGGAACGAUGCACUUUGAGAUCAACGUUGGGACCAAGCGUGCGUUUUACAUCUCGGCCCUCAAU
Molecule: long non-coding RNA, 1855 nt
Filed under: Selaginella moellendorffii
Lineage: Eukaryota; Viridiplantae; Streptophyta; Lycopodiopsida; Selaginellales; Selaginellaceae
Description: long non-coding RNA (SMOE_LNC000694)
Source: RNAcentral